GGUUAAGCGACUAAGCGUACACGGUGGAUGCCCUGGCAGUCAGAGGCGAUGAAGGACGUGCUAAUCUGCGAUAAGCGUCGGUAAGGUGAUAUGAACCGUUAUAACCGGCGAUUUCCGAAUGGGGAAACCCAGUGUGUUUCGACACACUAUCAUUAACUGAAUCCAUAGGUUAAUGAGGCGAACCGGGGGAACUGAAACAUCUAAGUACCCCGAGGAAAAGAAAUCAACCGAGAUUCCCCCAGUAGCGGCGAGCGAACGGGGAGCAGCCCAGAGCCUGAAUCAGUGUGUGUGUUAGUGGAAGCGUCUGGAAAGGCGCGCGAUACAGGGUGACAGCCCCGUACACAAAAAUGCACAUGCUGUGAGCUCGAUGAGUAGGGCGGGACACGUGGUAUCCUGUCUGAAUAUGGGGGGACCAUCCUCCAAGGCUAAAUACUCCUGACUGACCGAUAGUGAACCAGUACCGUGAGGGAAAGGCGAAAAGAACCCCGGCGAGGGGAGUGAAAAAGAACCUGAAACCGUGUACGUACAAGCAGUGGGAGCACGCUUCGGCGUGUGACUGCGUACCUUUUGUAUAAUGGGUCAGCGACUUAUAUUCUGUAGCAAGGUUAACCGAAUAGGGGAGCCGAAGGGAAACCGAGUCUUAACUGGGCGUUAAGUUGCAGGGUAUAGACCCGAAACCCGGUGAUCUAGCCAUGGGCAGGUUGAAGGUUGGGUAACACUAACUGGAGGACCGAACCGACUAAUGUUGAAAAAUUAGCGGAUGACUUGUGGCUGGGGGUGAAAGGCCAAUCAAACCGGGAGAUAGCUGGUUCUCCCCGAAAGCUAUUUAGGUAGCGCCUCGUGAAUUCAUCUCCGGGGGUAGAGCACUGUUUCGGCAAGGGGGUCAUCCCGACUUACCAACCCGAUGCAAACUGCGAAUACCGGAGAAUGUUAUCACGGGAGACACACGGCGGGUGCUAACGUCCGUCGUGAAGAGGGAAACAACCCAGACCGCCAGCUAAGGUCCCAAAGUCAUGGUUAAGUGGGAAACGAUGUGGGAAGGCCCAGACAGCCAGGAUGUUGGCUUAGAAGCAGCCAUCAUUUAAAGAAAGCGUAAUAGCUCACUGGUCGAGUCGGCCUGCGCGGAAGAUGUAACGGGGCUAAACCAUGCACCGAAGCUGCGGCAGCGACGCUUAUGCGUUGUUGGGUAGGGGAGCGUUCUGUAAGCCUGUGAAGGUGUGCUGUGAGGCAUGCUGGAGGUAUCAGAAGUGCGAAUGCUGACAUAAGUAACGAUAAAGCGGGUGAAAAGCCCGCUCGCCGGAAGACCAAGGGUUCCUGUCCAACGUUAAUCGGGGCAGGGUGAGUCGACCCCUAAGGCGAGGCCGAAAGGCGUAGUCGAUGGGAAACAGGUUAAUAUUCCUGUACUUGGUGUUACUGCGAAGGGGGGACGGAGAAGGCUAUGUUGGCCGGGCGACGGUUGUCCCGGUUUAAGCGUGUAGGCUGGUUUUCCAGGCAAAUCCGGAAAAUCAAGGCUGAGGCGUGAUGACGAAGCACUACGGUGCUGAAGCAACAAAUGCCCUGCUUCCAGGAAAAGCCUCUAAGCAUCAGGUAACAUCAAAUCGUACCCCAAACCGACACAGGUGGUCAGGUAGAGAAUACCAAGGCGCUUGAGAGAACUCGGGUGAAGGAACUAGGCAAAAUGGUGCCGUAACUUCGGGAGAAGGCACGCUGAUAUGUAGGUGAAGUCCCUUGCGGAUGGAGCUGAAAUCAGUCGAAGAUACCAGCUGGCUGCAACUGUUUAUUAAAAACACAGCACUGUGCAAACACGAAAGUGGACGUAUACGGUGUGACGCCUGCCCGGUGCCGGAAGGUUAAUUGAUGGGGUCAGCGCAAGCGAAGCUCUUGAUCGAAGCCCCGGUAAACGGCGGCCGUAACUAUAACGGUCCUAAGGUAGCGAAAUUCCUUGUCGGGUAAGUUCCGACCUGCACGAAUGGCGUAAUGAUGGCCAGGCUGUCUCCACCCGAGACUCAGUGAAAUUGAACUCGCUGUGAAGAUGCAGUGUACCCGCGGCAAGACGGAAAGACCCCGUGAACCUUUACUAUAGCUUGACACUGAACAUUGAGCCUUGAUGUGUAGGAUAGGUGGGAGGCUUUGAAGUGUGGACGCCAGUCUGCAUGGAGCCGACCUUGAAAUACCACCCUUUAAUGUUUGAUGUUCUAACGUUGACCCGUAAUCCGGGUUGCGGACAGUGUCUGGUGGGUAGUUUGACUGGGGCGGUCUCCUCCUAAAGAGUAACGGAGGAGCACGAAGGUUGGCUAAUCCUGGUCGGACAUCAGGAGGUUAGUGCAAUGGCAUAAGCCAGCUUGACUGCGAGCGUGACGGCGCGAGCAGGUGCGAAAGCAGGUCAUAGUGAUCCGGUGGUUCUGAAUGGAAGGGCCAUCGCUCAACGGAUAAAAGGUACUCCGGGGAUAACAGGCUGAUACCGCCCAAGAGUUCAUAUCGACGGCGGUGUUUGGCACCUCGAUGUCGGCUCAUCACAUCCUGGGGCUGAAGUAGGUCCCAAGGGUAUGGCUGUUCGCCAUUUAAAGUGGUACGCGAGCUGGGUUUAGAACGUCGUGAGACAGUUCGGUCCCUAUCUGCCGUGGGCGCUGGAGAACUGAGGGGGGCUGCUCCUAGUACGAGAGGACCGGAGUGGACGCAUCACUGGUGUUCGGGUUGUCAUGCCAAUGGCACUGCCCGGUAGCUAAAUGCGGAAGAGAUAAGUGCUGAAAGCAUCUAAGCACGAAACUUGCCCCGAGAUGAGUUCUCCCUGACCCUUUAAGGGUCCUGAAGGAACGUUGAAGACGACGACGUUGAUAGGCCGGGUGUGUAAGCGCAGCGAUGCGUUGAGCUAACCGGUACUAAUGAACCGUGAGGCUUAACCUU
Molecule: ribosomal RNA, 2904 nt
Filed under: Escherichia coli
Lineage: Bacteria; Pseudomonadati; Pseudomonadota; Gammaproteobacteria; Enterobacterales; Enterobacteriaceae
Description: 23S ribosomal RNA
Rfam family: Bacterial large subunit ribosomal RNA
Source: RNAcentral